CCGAUACCUAGUAUGGGGGGGGAAAGCACGGGGAAACUCGUAUUAAUACCGCAUACGACCUACGGGAGAAAGGCGUUGCAGUUUACUGCUCUCGCUAUUAGAUGAGCCUAAGUCGGAUUAGCUAGAUGGUGGGGUAAAGGCCUACCAUGGCGACGAUCUGUAGCUGGUCUGAGAGGAUGAUCAGCCACACCGGGACUGAGACACGGCCCGGACUCCUACGGGAGGCAGCAGUGGGGAAUAUUGGACAAUGGGGGAAACCCUGAUCCAGCCAUGCCGCGUGUGUGAAGAAGGCCUUUUGGUUGUAAAGCACUUUAAGCAGUGAAGAAGACUCCAUGGUUAAUACCCAUGGACGAUGACAUUAGCUGCAGAAUAAGCACCGGCUAACUCUGUGCCAGCAGCCGCGGUAAUACAGAGGGUGCAAGCGUUAAUCGGAAUUACUGGGCGUAAAGGGAGCGUAGGUGGCUCUAUAAGUCAGAUGUGAAAUCCCCGGGCUUAACCUGGGAACUGCAUCUGAAACUGUAGAGCUAGAGUAUGUGAGAGGAAGGUAGAAUUCCAGGUGUAGCGGUGAAAUGCGUAGAGAUCUGGAGGAAUACCGAUGGCGAAGGCAGCCUUCUGGCAUAAUACUGACACUGAGGCUCGAAAGCGUGGGUAGCAAACAGGAUUAGAUACCCUGGUAGUCCACGCCGUAAACGAUGUCUACUAGUCGUUGGGUCCCUUGAGGACUUAGUGACGCAGCUAACGCAUAAGUUAGACCGCCUGGGGAAGUACGGCCGCAAAGGUUAAAAACUCAAAAUGAAUUGACGGGGGCCCGCAACAAGCGGUGGGAGCAUGUGGUUUAAUUUCGAAUGCAACGCGAAGAACCUUUACCUGGUUCUUGAACAUAUCUAGGAAUCCUUGCAGAAGAUGGCGGGGAAUGGUCCUUUCGGGGAAAU
RNAcentral lists this ribosomal RNA (932 nucleotides) under uncultured Psychrobacter sp. RNAcentral describes it as "bacterial SSU rRNA". It matches the Rfam family "Bacterial small subunit ribosomal RNA", at positions 122 to 1034 of the family's 1533-position model. Lineage: Bacteria; Pseudomonadati; Pseudomonadota; Gammaproteobacteria; Moraxellales; Moraxellaceae. The record is from RNAcentral.